UACGUAGGGUGCGAGCGUUAAUCGGAAUUACUGGGCGUAAAGCGUGCGCAGGUGGUUUUGUAAGUCAGAUGUGAAAUCCCCGGGCUCAACCUGGGAACUGCGUUUGAAACUACAAGACUAGAGUGUGGCAGAGGGGGGUGGAAUUCCGCGUGUAGCAGUGAAAUGCGUAGAGAUGUGGAGGAACACCGAUGGCGAAGGCAGCCCCCUGGGUCAACACUGACGCUCAGGCACGAAAGCAUGGGGAGCAAACAGGAUUAGAUACCCCCGUA
This 269-nucleotide ribosomal RNA is filed under the name uncultured prokaryote. RNAcentral's name for it is "partial 16S ribosomal RNA". It matches the Rfam family "Bacterial small subunit ribosomal RNA", at positions 524 to 792 of the family's 1533-position model. The record is from RNAcentral.